Molecule: ribosomal RNA, 785 nt
Filed under: Listeria monocytogenes
Lineage: Bacteria; Bacillati; Bacillota; Bacilli; Caryophanales; Listeriaceae
Description: partial 23S ribosomal RNA
Rfam family: Bacterial large subunit ribosomal RNA
Source: RNAcentral
GAAGGAAAUUAAGUACGGAAGUUCCUGAUUUCACGCUGUCAAGAAAAGCCUCUAGGAAGAGUAGUACUGCCCGUACCGCAAACCGACACAGGUAGAUGAGGAGAGAAUCCUAAGGUGAGCGAGAGAACUCUCGUUAAGGAACUCGGCAAAAUGACCCCGUAACUUCGGGAGAAGGGGUGCUCUAUUAGGGUGCAAGCCCGAGAGAGCCGCAGUGAAUAGGCCCAGGCGACUGUUUAGCAAAAACACAGGUCUCUGCAAAACCGUAAGGUGACGUAUAGGGGCUGACGCCUGCCCGGUGCUGGAAGGUUAAGAGGAGUGCUUAGCUUCGGCGAAGGUACGAAUUGAAGCCCCAGUAAACGGCGGCCGUAACUAUAACGGUCCUAAGGUAGCGAAAUUCCUUGUCGGGUAAGUUCCGACCCGCACGAAAGGCGCAACGAUCUGGGCACUGUCUCAACGAGAGACUCGGUGAAAUUAUAGUACCUGUGAAGAUGCAGGUUACCCGCGACAGGACGGAAAGACCCCGUGGAGCUUUACUGCAACCUGAUAUGGAAUGUUUGUACCGCUUGUACAGGAUAGGUAGGAGCCGAAGAGACGUGUGCGCUAGCAUACGAGGAGGCAAUGGUGGGAUACUACCCUGGCUGUAUGACCAUUCUAACCCGCCACGCUUAGCGCGUGGGGAGACAGUGUCAGGUGGGCAGUUUGACUGGGGCGGUCGCCUCCUAAAGAGUAACGGAGGCGCCCAAAGGUUCCCUCAGAAUGGAUGGAAAUCAUUCGCAGAGUGUAAA